RNAcentral lists this ribosomal RNA (492 nucleotides) under uncultured bacterium. RNAcentral describes it as "partial 16S ribosomal RNA". It matches the Rfam family "Bacterial small subunit ribosomal RNA", at positions 29 to 507 of the family's 1533-position model. The record is from RNAcentral.
AGUGAACGCUGGCGGUAGGCCUAACACAUGCAAGUCGAACGGCAGCACAGUAAGAGCUUGCUCUUACGGGUGGCGAGUGGCGGACGGGUGAGGAAUACAUCGGAAUCUACUUUUUCGUAGGGGAUAACGUAGGGAAACUUACGCUAAUACCGCAUACGACCUACGGGUGAAAGCAGGGGAUCUUCGGACCUUGCGCGAUUGAAUGAGCCGAUGUCGGAUUAGCUAGUUGGCGGGGUAAAGGCCCACCAAGGCGACGAUCCGUAGCUGGUCUGAGAGGAUGAUCAGCCACACUGGAACUGAGACACGGUCCAGACUCCUACGGGAGGCAGCAGUGGGGAAUAUUGGACAAUGGGCGCAAGCCUGAUCCAGACAUACCGCGUGGGUGAAGAAGGCCUUCGGGUUGUAAAGCCCUUUUGUUGGGAAAGAAAAGCAGCAGGUUAAUACCCCGCUGUUCUGACGGUACCCAAAGAAUAAGCACCGGCUAACUUCGUG